Long non-coding RNA from Thalassophryne amazonica, 298 nucleotides. RefSeq lists it as uncharacterized. The record is from RefSeq and is a predicted model, not a curated record. The transcript has 3 exons. Lineage: Eukaryota; Metazoa; Chordata; Actinopteri; Batrachoidiformes; Batrachoididae.
AAGAAGAAGACGACCUCGUAACCAUAGACAUUCUCGUAACAUCGUUGAUAACGAGGAGCGCGCACGAUUAUAACAAAUAGAAACAUACUGAGAUAAAUAUGACUGUUUAUUGAUCAGCGUUUGAAAUAUAUCGAGGACCAUCUUCACCCGCGUCAGGUCGUGAUGAGUGUCCCCUGCAUCCUGUCACCCAUGACCCGGAGCCACUGCCUCUGUGCUGCUGCUGGUCCUCUCUGCAGCCGCCUGCUGGGUGAUACAGCCUUCACAAGGAAAGCAAUGGACCAUCUAGAAAAGACAGCCA